CUCGUAGGCGGUUCAGCAAGUCGGUCGUGAAAGCCCGGGGCUCAACCCCGGGACGCCGGUCGAAACUGUUGUGACUUGAGUUCGGUAGAGGUGAGUGGAAUUCUCGGUGUAGCGGUGGAAUGCGCAGAUAUCGAGAGGAACACCCGUAGCGAAGGCGGCUCACUGGGCCGAUACUGACGCUGAGGAGCGAAAGCGUGGGGAGCAAACA
RNAcentral lists this ribosomal RNA (208 nucleotides) under uncultured bacterium. RNAcentral describes it as "partial 16S ribosomal RNA". It matches the Rfam family "Bacterial small subunit ribosomal RNA", at positions 568 to 774 of the family's 1533-position model. The record is from RNAcentral.